This 598-nucleotide ribosomal RNA is filed under the name Escherichia coli. RNAcentral describes it as "partial 23S ribosomal RNA". It matches the Rfam family "Bacterial large subunit ribosomal RNA", at positions 296 to 905 of the family's 2925-position model. The record is from RNAcentral. Lineage: Bacteria; Pseudomonadati; Pseudomonadota; Gammaproteobacteria; Enterobacterales; Enterobacteriaceae.
AGCCCAGAGCCUGAAUCAGUGUGUGUGUUAGUGGAAGCGUCUGGAAAGGCGCGCGAUACAGGGUGACAGCCCCGUACACAAAAAUGCACAUACUGUGAGCUCGAUGAGUAGGGCGGGACACGUGGUAUCCUGUCUGAAUAUGGGGGGACCAUCCUCCAAGGCUAAAUACUCCUGACUGACCGAUAGUGAACCAGUACCGUGAGGGAAAGGCGAAAAGAACCCCGGCGAGGGGAGUGAAAAAGAACCUGAAACCGUGUACGUACAAGCAGUGGGAGCACGCUUCGGCGUGUGACUGCGUACCUUUUGUAUAAUGGGUCAGCGACUUAUAUUCUGUAGCAAGGUUAACCGAAUAGGGGAGCCGAAGGGAAACCGAGUCUUAACUGGGCGUUAAGUUGCAGGGUAUAGACCCGAAACCCGGUGAUCUAGCCAUGGGCAGGUUGAAGGUUGGGUAACACUAACUGGAGGACCGAACCGACUAAUGUUGAAAAAUUAGCGGAUGACUUGUGGCUGGGGGUGAAAGGCCAAUCAAACCGGGAGAUAGCUGGUUCUCCCCGAAAGCUAUUUAGGUAGCGCCUCGUGAAUUCAUCUCCGGGGGUAG